RNA transcript from Carlito syrichta (Philippine tarsier), 3069 nucleotides. It is a transcript of the gene named autophagy related 4B cysteine peptidase, with no coding region annotated. The record is from RefSeq and is a predicted model, not a curated record. Lineage: Eukaryota; Metazoa; Chordata; Mammalia; Primates; Tarsiidae. The transcript is spliced from 13 exons.
GGCCCGGCCGUACGCCAAAAUGGCGGCUCCCGCUCACUUCCGCUUUGCUCACUUCCGUCCGCGCGCCGGAUCUUCUUGGCUGACCGCGCCCGCGUUCCGAUUGGCCCCCGCGGCGUCCCGUCGCCGCGUCUCGCUGCGGGCCGGUAGGAGCGUCGCCGCUCGGGUCAGUCGGCGGCUGGACAGGGAAGAUGGACGCAGCUACUCUAACCUACGACACUCUCCGAUUUGCCGAAUUUGAAGAUUUCCCUGAGACCUCAGAGCCCGUUUGGAUUUUGGGUAGAAAAUACAGCAUUUUCACAGAGAAAGACGAGAUCUUGUCUGAUGUGGCAUCUAGACUUUGGUUUACAUACAGGAAAAACUUUCCAGCCAUUGGGGGAACGGGCCCUACCUCGGACACAGGCUGGGGCUGCAUGCUUCGGUGUGGACAGAUGAUCUUUGCCCAAGCCCUGGUAUGCCGGCACUUAGGCCGAGAUUGGAGGUGGACACAACAGAAGAGGCAGCCAGACAGCUACUUCAGCGUCCUCAACGCUUUCAUUGACAGGAAGGACAGUUACUACUCCAUUCACCAGAUAGCGCAAAUGGGAGUUGGUGAAGGCAAGUCUAUAGGCCAGUGGUACGGGCCAAACACCGUUGCCCAGGUCCUCAAGAAACUUGCCGUCUUCGACACGUGGAGUGCCUUGGCAGUUCACAUAGCAAUGGACAACACUGUGGUGAUGGAGGAAAUCAGAAGGUUGUGCAGGAGCAGCCUUCCAUGUGUAGGGGCUGCCGCAUUUCCUGCAGACUCGGAGUGGCACUGCAACGGAUUCCCUGCUGGCACCGAGGUCACCAACAGGCUGGCACCGUGGAGACCCCUGGUGCUUCUCAUCCCCCUGCGCCUGGGGCUCACAGAUAUCAACGAGGCCUAUGUGGAGACAUUGAAGCGCUGCUUCAUGAUGCCCCAGUCCUUGGGUGUCAUUGGAGGGAAGCCCAACAGUGCCCACUACUUUAUCGGCUAUGUGAGGAGCUCAUCUACCUGGACCCCCACACCACACAGCCAGCUGUGGAGCCCACUGACAGUUGCUUUAUCCCUGAUGAGAGCUUCCACUGCCAGCACCCACCAUGUCGGAUGAGCAUCGCAGAGCUUGACCCGUCCAUUGCUGUGGGGUUUUUCUGUAAGACUGAGGACGACUUCAAUGACUGGUGCCAGCAAGUCAAAAAGCUGUCACUGCUCGGAGGUGCCCUGCCCAUGUUUGAGCUGGUGGAGCAGCAGCCUUCCCAUCUGGCCUGCCCCGAUGUCCUGAACCUGUCCCUAGAUUCUUCUGAUGUAGAGCGACUGGAAAGAUUCUUUGACUCAGAAGAUGAAGACUUUGAAAUCCUGUCCCUUUGAAAUCCUGGAGUUGGGAGAUGGCACCCUUGAGAGCCCAGCCCUGCCUUGGGUGCUCAGUGCCACUGCAUUUCAUCCAUCCAGCCUGCCCGCCUGCUGAGUGCCGCGCAUAUGCGCCGCCUCCGCCCAGAGGGCCACCCCACUCUCCUCGUGGACUGAGGCCUGCGCUGCCCUGGAGGCCUUAAUUGCUUGGAGUCAGACUGCCUAGCCCAGAGCGCUUAUCAGGGCCUGUGCAUCCACUUGAGGAACCAUCUGUCAGGAGCUUCCAGAGAGUUCUCUCGACACUGCCAGCCCUGUGUUAGUGCAUCGACUUCGGUCCCACUUCCUCCUGGUGCCAGUUCUGUGGUUUGUUUGGAAUUAAAUUCCUGUUUGAAGUUGUUCAAGAGACAUGAGUUUAUGGGGCACUUCCCAAGUUACAGUCUCAGAAGACCUGCAGGUUGGCCUGUGAGGAGUGAUGGGCACUGUGGCCCCAUGCUUGCAGACCAGGCUACUUAUGUGUGCAGGCGAGCUCACAGCUGUGCCCCCUCUGCCCAGUAUGGUUUACUAAGGGCUACCUCAGUGGGAGAUCAGGUUGAAGGAAUUAUAACAAGGUUUCUCCUUGUGUUGGGGAGGAAGUAUUCAAGGGUGGGGCAUGUGGGAAACCCAAAGAUGUCAACGUGCACAGGACAGUGUGGAUAACCUGGGCCAAAGGGCAGCUGAUGUGCCCCAGGGCACUUCAGGAAUGACCGUCCUCAGAGGUCCCCACCAGGACACAGCUUUCUAUCUCCUUUAAAUGGUUGCGGCAUUCUGAGGCGUACCUUAUUCUGCUGCUUGCUUGUCACACCAGCUCCCCCAGCGGUGGGCCGGGGGGUGAAGCCCUCUGCCUCUGACACUUGGGCUCGAGGCUGAGUGGAGCACGCUGCCACCCAGGAGCUUUCCUUUGUGUCCUUGCCUUGCGCAGAACUGCCCUCCUGCAUCAUUGGGGUUUUAGAUGAUUUGGGGCCAAAAGGAGAAACCACUUCAGCUUUGUGGUGUGUGACAGGCAGAUGGAGCAGGGCUGCAUCAGCUGGUGACAUUUCCAGACCCUCCUCAACACUAAUUCAGCACCUGCUGCCUUUUAACCCUGCUGUUCUGGGUCCCCAGAGUGCACUGCUGCCAUGGUGGUCUGCUGUCUGUCCUGGAAAAGUGGCUUUACUCCUGCUAGAAAGUGUAAAGAGGGUGUGCGGUGCUUGGGCUGUGGCAGGCCGCAGGCCUUUCUUAUAAGCACUUGCGGGUGUCAGCAGAAUCUGCUGUUGCUGCUUUUGCAGGUGGGGCCCUGAGCUCCCUCUGGACAUACACUGCACACUCGCACUGACGGCCCAUUGAGCUAGCAAAGGAUACCCCAGCCCCUCAAAUGUUGACAUAAUUUAUUUCCUUUCUCUCUUCACCUCCUCUCUCCCUCCCUCCCUCCUUUAUCCUUUCUCCCUUAGAUACAGGUGGGGUGGGAAGGAGGGAAGGCUGGAACAAUUUCCAUUCCUUUUGGGCUUCGCAUCUUUCUGAGUCAACAAAUGCACCACUGUGAUGGGAGCUGAGGGUCUUGCUACAGUGGUUGUGGGCGGAACACCUUGACCAAAGGGGAGCUUGUCUUGUGUGUUUUGAAAGGCUUACUUGAGAGAAUGUUGUUCAUUCUUAGUAGUAUAGUUUGCAGUUCUUAAUGGCAAAUAAUAACAAUUUCAAUAGAAAACAAA